CCAGGUGAGCUGCUGCAAGGGCGACGACCUCACAAGUCACAUUCACAACGAGUGAACCAGAGGAUAGAGGUGAGAACUUUGCAAUUAGACCGAGUAGCAGAGCUUUGCAAUUAGAAAUUUUGUAGCAAUUUUUUCACAAUUGAUAUACUUUAUGUUGUUAAUUAGUGUUUAUAUCUUUAACUGUAGAUCAUAGAGCUUUGCACCUUUAUUAGAGUUGAACAGCUUUGACUGCUUUGUACCUUUAUUUUUUCGAUUAUGUAUAUUGACAUAUUGUGAACUUUUUAAUGUUCAUCUGGACCUUUUUAUUUGCUAGAUGGGAAUACCCAACUCUAGAAUCCUACUCCGCCACUGAUAAUAAACACCAUGUUGAAUGCAAACGGCCUGCCUUUGCCUCCGACCCACCAUGGCGUUGGUACCGCAAAAACAGGACAACAUAGGAAUUGAUGCUGACAGAAAAAUUUACUGUUGAUGGAAGGGGGGGAAUGCAGCUUGGCAGGGAACUGAAAAAUAUAGAAAUAGGCUUCAAUGAGUGUUUCCACCUAGAAAUGAUUGUACAAACAAAACCCACUGAAGUAGUUCAAAAGUAAAGAUUCCCCGCCAAGUACAUAUCAAACAUAUUUUUAAUGUAAUGGACAAAUCACAUGAAAUUUUAAAGUAUUCUCAAAACUGUCAAUUAUGAUGAACUCCAACAAAAAUAUAUGAAAAUUGAAUGUAGUGGGCCAAUCAGGUUUCGCCGGCGCUACUAUCACAAGUCCGGUGUCGCCCCCAAGGCAGUCGGUCCCUCAGCCUUCCUGAGCGAGCAUUAUCGGUGUGAUUGCUGGGCUAAGAGAGCCUUGGCAUGUGUUGUGCCUGUUUUCCACAAUGUGCUCCCGCCCGUGUUGGCCAAAGCCCAUCUGAUCUGCUUCGAGACGGGGGAUCCACUCAGG
Molecule: long non-coding RNA, 926 nt
Filed under: Setaria italica (foxtail millet)
Lineage: Eukaryota; Viridiplantae; Streptophyta; Magnoliopsida; Poales; Poaceae
Description: long non-coding RNA (SITA_LNC003387)
Source: RNAcentral